This 254-nucleotide unclassified non-coding RNA is filed under the name uncultured Gemmatimonadota bacterium. RNAcentral's name for it is "uncultured Gemmatimonadetes bacterium contains 16S-23S intergenic spacer region". It matches the Rfam family "Bacterial small subunit ribosomal RNA", at positions 524 to 776 of the family's 1533-position model. Lineage: Bacteria; Pseudomonadati; Gemmatimonadota. The record is from RNAcentral.
GACGGAGGGCGCAAGCGUUGUUCGGAAUCACUGGGCGUAAAGCGCUCGCAGGCGGGUGCGGAAGUCGGGGGUGAAAGGUCGGGGCUCAACCCCGGAUCGUUCUCUCGAUACUCCGUGCCUAGGGACCGGUAGAGGCCAGUAGAAUUCCCGGAGUAGCGGUGGAAUGCGUAGAGAUCGGGAAGAACACCAGAGGCGAAGGCGACUGGCUGGGCCGGAUCCGACGCUCAGGCACGAAGGCGUGGGGAGCGAACAGG